RNAcentral lists this ribosomal RNA (428 nucleotides) under uncultured Desulfuromonas sp. RNAcentral describes it as "bacterial SSU rRNA". It matches the Rfam family "Bacterial small subunit ribosomal RNA", at positions 957 to 1382 of the family's 1533-position model. Lineage: Bacteria; Pseudomonadati; Thermodesulfobacteriota; Desulfuromonadia; Desulfuromonadales; Desulfuromonadaceae. The record is from RNAcentral.
CAACGCGCAGAACCUUACCUGGGCUUGACAUCCCGAUCGCACUUUCUGGAAACAGAGAGGUCAGUUCGGCUGGAUCGGUGACAGGUGCUGCAUGGCUGUCGUCAGCUCGUGUCGUGAGAUGUUGGGUUAAGUCCCGCAACGAGCGCAACCCUCGUCCUUAGUUGCCAGCAUUAAGUUUGGGCACUCUAAGGAGACUGCCGGUGUUAAACCGGAGGAAGGCGGGGAUGACGUCAAGUCCUCAUGGCCCUUAUGUCCAGGGCUACACACGUGCUACAAUGGCCGGUACAAAGGGUAGCAAGACCGCGAGGUGGAGCCAAUCCCAAAAAGCCGGUCUCAGUUCGGAUUGGAGUCUGCAACUCGACCCCAUGAAGUUGGAAUCGCUAGUAAUCGUGGAUCAGCAUGCCACGGUGAAUACGUUCCCGGGCCUU